This 248-nucleotide unclassified non-coding RNA is filed under the name Glomus sp. RNAcentral describes it as "partial internal transcribed spacer 2". Lineage: Eukaryota; Fungi; Glomeromycota; Glomeromycetes; Glomerales; Glomeraceae. The record is from RNAcentral.
GUGAAUCAUCGAAUUUUUGAACGCAAAUUGCACUCUCCGCGAAUAGGAUGCGUAUCUCAGUUUCAGCCUAUGAAAAAUCAACAUCGUUGCUGUUUCGCGGUGGCGUUCGUCAGGAAUUGGGUCAUCUUCAAUCUUUUGUUUUUAAGCUGCUUAAAAUUUUCUUUUUGGUUCCAUGAACGUUUCUAAGAUUUAUUUCUUUACACGUUUAAGGUGUCGAUUUUUAUUAGGCGUGACCAUCAUAUCUGAUC